Molecule: ribosomal RNA, 764 nt
Filed under: uncultured bacterium
Lineage: Bacteria
Description: bacterial SSU rRNA
Rfam family: Bacterial small subunit ribosomal RNA
Source: RNAcentral
GCUUAACACAUGCAAGUCGAGCGGAGAUGAGGUGCUUGCACCUUAUCUUAGCGGCGGACGGGUGAGUAAUGCUUAGGAAUCUGCCUAUUAGUGGGGGACAACAUUCCGAAAGGGAUGCUAAUACCGCAUACGUCCUACGGGAGAAAGCAGGGGAUCUUCGGACCUUGCGCUAAUAGAUGAGCCUAAGUCGGAUUAGCUAGUUGGUGGGGUAAAGGCCUACCAAGGCGACGAUCUGUAGCGGGUCUGAGAGGAUGAUCCGCCACACUGGGACUGAGACACGGCCCAGACUCCUACGGGAGGCAGCAGUGGGGAAUAUUGGACAAUGGGGGGAACCCUGAUCCAGCCAUGCCGCGUGUGUGAAGAAGGCCUUAUGGUUGUAAAGCACUUUAAGCGAGGAGGAGGCUACUGAGACUAAUACUCUUGGAUAGUGGACGUUACUCGCAGAAUAAGCACCGGCUAACUCUGUGCCAGCAGCCGCGGUAAUACAGAGGGUGCGAGCGUUAAUCGGAUUUACUGGGCGUAAAGCGUGCGUAGGCGGCUUUUUAAGUCGGAUGUGAAAUCCCCGAGCUUAACUUGGGAAUUGCAUUCGAUACUGGGAAGCUAGAGUAUGGGAGAGGAUGGUAGAAUUCCAGGUGUAGCGGUGAAAUGCGUAGAGAUCUGGAGGAAUACCGAUGGCGAAGGCAGCCAUCUGGCCUAAUACUGACGCUGAGGUACGAAAGCAUGGGGAGCAAACAGGAUUAGAUACCCUGGUAGUCCAUGCCGUA